GAUGAACGCUGGCGGCGUGCCUAAUACAUGCAAGUCGAGCGAACAGACGAGGAGCUUGCUCCUCUGACGUUAGCGGCGGACGGGUGAGUAACACGUGGAUAACCUACCUAUAAGACUGGGAUAACUUCGGGAAACCGGAGCUAAUACCGGAUAAUAUAUUGAACCGCAUGGUUCAAUAGUGAAAGACGGUUUUGCUGUCACUUAUAGAUGGAUCCGCGCCGCAUUAGCUAGUUGGUAAGGUAACGGCGUACCAAGGCGACGAUGCGUAGCCGACCUGGGAGGGUGAGCGGCCACACUGGAACUGAGACACGGUCCAGACUCCUACGGGAGGCAGCAGUAGGGAAUCUUCCGCAAUGGGCGAAAGCCUGACGGAGCAACGCCGCGUGAGUGAUGAAGGUCUUCGGAUCGUAAAACUCUGUUAUUAGGGAAGAACAAAUGUGUAAGUAACUAUGCACGUCUUGACGGUACCUAAUCAGAAAGCCACGGCUAACUACGUG
This 497-nucleotide ribosomal RNA is filed under the name uncultured bacterium. Its description in RNAcentral is "partial 16S ribosomal RNA". It matches the Rfam family "Bacterial small subunit ribosomal RNA", at positions 28 to 507 of the family's 1533-position model. The record is from RNAcentral.